Molecule: unclassified non-coding RNA, 274 nt
Filed under: Glomeraceae sp.
Lineage: Eukaryota; Fungi; Glomeromycota; Glomeromycetes; Glomerales; Glomeraceae
Description: partial contains 5.8S ribosomal RNA and internal transcribed spacer 2
Rfam family: 5.8S ribosomal RNA (bases 1-71)
Source: RNAcentral
GUGAAUCAUCAAAUUUUUGAACGCAUAUUGCACUCUCUGGUAUUCCGGAGAGUAUGCCUGUUUGAGGGUCAGUUAAAUAAAAAUCGGUGUUUUGUUGCCGCUUUGCGUAGUGACGCAUCGGGUUUGGGUCGUCUUGCCUUCGGUUAAGUGACCUAAAAUUUUGCAUGAUUUUUUUCGAACGUAUUUAAAUGAUUUUACGUACGUUUGCGAUAUAGAAUACUAGGUGUGGUCAUCCUCAUGAUUCGUGUCGAUAAUUUUUCAUCAAAAUGACCUC